Molecule: long non-coding RNA, 206 nt
Filed under: Amborella trichopoda
Lineage: Eukaryota; Viridiplantae; Streptophyta; Magnoliopsida; Amborellales; Amborellaceae
Description: long non-coding RNA (ATRI_LNC001659)
Source: RNAcentral
GAUUGAGCACACAAGCAUUUGAAUUGCAAGAAAAUUUGAGCACACCACUUCGACAAGCCUAUUCGACCCCAAAGAUCUAAACAAGUGAAUUUACAAAGAGAAUUUUCAGGUGGGGGACAUUAUUUUGUUAUCAAAAGGUGUUCAAAGGUUUGGGGAGGGGAAGAGAGAUGGAUUCUCACAUAUUGGAGGGAGGUGGGGUGGGUUAG